Long non-coding RNA from Nymphalis io (European peacock), 416 nucleotides. RefSeq lists it as uncharacterized. The transcript is spliced from 2 exons. The record is from RefSeq and is a predicted model, not a curated record. NCBI's taxonomy places the organism in Eukaryota, Metazoa, Arthropoda, Insecta, Lepidoptera, Nymphalidae.
UUUUUAUUAUCCAAAGAAAACCAAUCGCUUUAUCGAAUUUUAUACGCAUUUAAUUAAUUAAAUCCAAGGAGUAUAUUGAAUCGUGAAUAAAACUGCGCCAUGCAAACAUCGAUUACCAGUAUCAAGAUGUAUUCUUACGUGCGGAUAGCGUUGGUAGCGAUAUGUCUCCUAGCCGUCUACAUUCAAUGUCCGCAUUGCAACAAGGUGCCACACGGUUAAUGAAAUAUUUUUUUAAUUUCCGUCAUCAAAUAACAUGACGAACUCAUUGAUAUGUCUAAAAAUGAUAAUCGAAAUUAUUAAUAAAAAAUACUAAAUAUAUAUUUAAACGUAACAUAAACAUGCUUUGAUGAUUAAUAAGUUCCAAUAAUAUAUAUCAAUAAUUAUAUUGAAUUUAUUAAAAAAUGUUAUAAAAAUUU